RNAcentral lists this ribosomal RNA (448 nucleotides) under uncultured bacterium. Its description in RNAcentral is "partial 16S ribosomal RNA". It matches the Rfam family "Bacterial small subunit ribosomal RNA", at positions 328 to 793 of the family's 1533-position model. The record is from RNAcentral.
GUGCCAGACUCCUACGGGAGGCAGCAGUGGGGGAUAUUGCACAAUGGGGGGAACCCUGAUGCAGCGACGCCGCGUGGGUGAAGGAGCGUUUCGGCGCGUAAAGCCCUAUCGGCAGGGAAGAAGGAGGACGGUACCUGACUAAGAAGCCCCGGCUAACUACGUGCCAGCAGCCGCGGUAAUACGUAGGGGGCAAGCGUUAUCCGGAUUUACUGGGUGUAAAGGGGGCGCAGGCGGAUUUUUAAGUCAGCGGUCAAAUCGUGGGGCUCAACCCCAUCCAGCCGUUGAAACUGGGGAUCUAGAGUGUGCGAGAGGUAUGCGGAAUGCGUGGUGUAGCGGUGAAAUGCAUAGAUAUCACGCAGAACCCCGAUUGCGAAGGCAGCAUACCGGUGCACAACUGACGCUCAGGCACGAAAGCGUGGGUAUCGAACAGGAUUAGAUACCCCAGUAA